UAUAAGGAUUUGAAUAAGUGUUUUCUUGUUGGAUCUACAAAACUUCUUGUUAUAUUUACAUAAAUCGCAGCGCUCUGCAACAGUUUUGUCAUCACUCACUAAACGGUUGAUCAACUGUUCGCCGCAUUCAUUUGUUACACUGCUACUGCGCCCUCGCUACUCGCGGCGUGUAUCGCGCGCAUUAGAUCUUUCGCGAAGCAAUGGCGUUAAGCAGUCGGAACAGUCUCAACUGAGCUCGCUAAAGUUUUACGUCGCGUCGUGGAAUCCAUUACGGAAUAUUAGUUAGGCCGAUGACAGAGAACGAGAAGUCAAAUUCUGCGAAAAUAGUGAGAGAUUGCUUGAUGACCACCACAAACGGCGGCUACAAAACUGAGAUACGUACUUUUAUCGACAUACUCGAAAAAGACAGACAGCUACAACGCUGGGGCAGGCCGGUCCUCGACAGUUUGAUACGGUUUACGGUAAACACAUUUCGUUGGAAAUCACGUCAUGGGGCAAGCAAGCAGCAACAGCAAGCAAGCAAGCAAGCAAGUAAGACUAGUUGAACCGAAGAGUAGGUGAUGCUUCCUAGGUUGGGGAAGGUGCGCGAGUGGUCGCUGAAGAGCUCUUAGCCGACCCUUUGUUGCCCCUGCCAUCCCCACUUCUACUAUCACGCAAGGGACGACAGGAGGGAACCGCGGAGAUGGACAUAAAAAAAGCGAGGAAGCUGUGACAAUGGCAGAACCAGAAACCGCACAAAGACAGACAACUCUUUCGCGCGAUAAGAAACCUAGAGAGAGGGAAAGAAUAUCACCGAGUCGGUUCAGGCGUCCACCUUCGCCUUUGUUUUUCUCACGGAUCUAACGAGGAUUUACCGUUGCUACAAAGCACUACCUGCGUUCGCGACAGCCACCACCACCAUCAGCGGCGCGGCAUCGGUGUGAAAAUCUCUCGAUGGCGGGGAAAAACGCGGUUCCGGCAGGAGUCGCAAGAAUAAGGCAACGUCGCUGUCUCCCGCAGGAACCAAUUUAGACGAUGUCAGUUGUCAACACUCGGGAGUAACGGGUGGCCGAGAGAAAAAUCUCUCGAUUUAUCGGUGCGCUCAUCCGCCUCUGAAUCGCAUCGACAAUCUCGGCUGAUUCGAAAGUCUGCGGCGUGAGGAGAAACAAGUAGAAAAGGACGAUGAUCGCGUCCUAGCGCGGGGCGCGACGAGACGAAGGAAACCUUGAUAUAUCCGCCAAACACAAGGAGCCCGAACACCUCGGCGGGAUUUAUCGGGACUACGGAUAAUGGAUGGCUCCGCGCUGCUACUGGGGACGCUGCUUUUUUAAAUAAUACAACGCACAACGCUGAAAAAUGCCCGGCCGUUUCGCAUGCGAACGAUAAUCGCGGCUCCCCGAAUACAGCGGACAAAUAUAACGGAAAUAAUUGGAAAGAUUGUUAUGAAAAACCAUGUAAAUACUACAGAUACAUAAUUUUAUGAAUCGCAAUCUGAUAAAUUUAUCAGGUUGCCACAAAAUGGAAGA
This is a non-coding RNA of Linepithema humile (Argentine ant), 1505 nucleotides long. The record is from RefSeq and is a predicted model, not a curated record. NCBI's taxonomy places the organism in Eukaryota, Metazoa, Arthropoda, Insecta, Hymenoptera, Formicidae.